This 442-nucleotide ribosomal RNA is filed under the name uncultured bacterium. Its description in RNAcentral is "bacterial SSU rRNA". It matches the Rfam family "Bacterial small subunit ribosomal RNA", at positions 30 to 492 of the family's 1533-position model. The record is from RNAcentral.
AUUGAACGCUGGCGGCAGGCUUAACACAUGCAAGUCGAACGCCCGUAGCAAUACGGGAGUGGCGGACGGGUGAGUAACGCGUGGGAACGUACCCUGAGGUACGGAAUAACCGAGGGAAACUUCGGCUAAUACCGUAUGAGCCCCGCAAGGGGGAAAGAUUUAUCGCCUUGGGAGCGGCCCGCGUCGGAUUAGCUUGUUGGUAGGGUAACGGCCUACCAAGGCGACGAUCAAUAGCUGGCGUGAGAGCGCGACCAGCCACACUGGAACUGAGACACGGUCCAGACUCCUACGGGAGGCAGCAGUAGGGAAUAUUGGACAAUGGGCGAAAGCCUGAUCCAGCCAUGCCGCGUGAUAGAUGAAGGCCCUCUGGGUUGUAAAUAUCUUUUAUCUGGGAAGAAACAAUCUUAUUCUUAAGAUCUUGACGGUACCAGAGGAAUAAAGC